UACGUAGGGUGCGAGCGUUGUCCGGAAUUAUGGGGCGGAAAGAGCUUGUAGGCGGUUUGUCGCGUCUGCCGUGAAAAUCCGGGGCUCAACCCCGGACUUGCGGUGGGUACGGGCAGACUAGAGUGUGGUAGGGGAGACUGGAAUUCCUGGUGUAGCGGUGAAAUGCGCAGAUAUCAGGAGGAACACCGAUGGCGAAGGCAGGUCUCUGGGCCACUACUGACGCUGAGAAGCGAAAGCGUGGGGAGCGAACAGG
This 253-nucleotide ribosomal RNA is filed under the name uncultured bacterium. Its description in RNAcentral is "partial 16S ribosomal RNA". It matches the Rfam family "Bacterial small subunit ribosomal RNA", at positions 524 to 776 of the family's 1533-position model. The record is from RNAcentral.